RNAcentral lists this ribosomal RNA (253 nucleotides) under uncultured bacterium. Its description in RNAcentral is "partial 16S ribosomal RNA". It matches the Rfam family "Bacterial small subunit ribosomal RNA", at positions 524 to 776 of the family's 1533-position model. The record is from RNAcentral.
UACGUAGGGUGCAAGCGUUGUCCGGAAUUAUUGGGCGUAAAGAGCUCGUAGGCGGUUUGUCGCGUCUGCUGUGAAAACUCGGGGCUUAACUCCGGGCCUGCAGUGGGUACGGGCAGACUAGAGUGCGGUAGGGGAGACUGGAAUUCCUGGUGUAGCGGUGAAAUGCGCAGAUAUCAGGAGGAACACCGGUGGCGAAGGCGGGUCUCUGGGCCGUAACUGACGCUGAGGCGCGAAAGCCAGGGGAGCAAACGGG